RNAcentral lists this ribosomal RNA (1329 nucleotides) under Cronobacter sakazakii. Its description in RNAcentral is "bacterial LSU rRNA". It matches the Rfam family "Bacterial large subunit ribosomal RNA", at positions 1619 to 2925 of the family's 2925-position model. Lineage: Bacteria; Pseudomonadati; Pseudomonadota; Gammaproteobacteria; Enterobacterales; Enterobacteriaceae. The record is from RNAcentral.
CUCUAAGCACCAGGUAACAUUAAAUCGUACCCCAAACCGACACAGGUGGUCAGGUAGAGAAUACCAAGGCGCUUGAGAGAACUCGGGUGAAGGAACUAGGCAAAAUGGUGCCGUAACUUCGGGAGAAGGCACGCUGACAUGUAGGUGAAGCCCCUGCGGGUGGAGCUGAAGUCAGUCGAAGAUACCAGCUGGCUGCAACUGUUUAUUAAAAACACAGCACUGUGCAAACACGAAAGUGGACGUAUACGGUGUGACGCCUGCCCGGUGCCGGAAGGUUAAUUGAUGGGGUUAUCGCAAGAGAAGCUCCUGAUCGAAGCCCCGGUAAACGGCGGCCGUAACUAUAACGGUCCUAAGGUAGCGAAAUUCCUUGUCGGGUAAGUUCCGACCUGCACGAAUGGCGUAAUGAUGGCCAGGCUGUCUCCACCCGAGACUCAGUGAAAUUGAACUCGCUGUGAAGAUGCAGUGUACCCGCGGCAAGACGGAAAGACCCCGUGAACCUUUACUACAGCUUGACACUGAACAUUGAGCCUUGAUGUGUAGGAUAGGUGGGAGGCUUUGAAGCGUGGACGCCAGUCUGCGUGGAGCCAACCUUGAAAUACCACCCUUUAAUGUUUGAUGUUCUAACCUGGCGCCGUGAUCCGGCGUGGGGACAGUGUCUGGUGGGUAGUUUGACUGGGGCGGUCUCCUCCCAAAGUGUAACGGAGGAGCACGAAGGUCAGCUAAUCCUGGUCGGACAUCAGGAGGUUAGUGCAAUGGCAUAAGCUGGCUUGACUGCGAGAGUGACGGCUCGAGCAGGUGCGAAAGCAGGUCAUAGUGAUCCGGUGGUUCUGUAUGGAAGGGCCAUCGCUCAACGGAUAAAAGGUACUCCGGGGAUAACAGGCUGAUACCGCCCAAGAGUUCAUAUCGACGGCGGUGUUUGGCACCUCGAUGUCGGCUCAUCACAUCCUGGGGCUGAAGUAGGUCCCAAGGGUAUGGCUGUUCGCCAUUUAAAGUGGUACGCGAGCUGGGUUUAGAACGUCGUGAGACAGUUCGGUCCCUAUCUGCCGUGGGCGCUGGAGAAUUGAGGGGGGCUGCUCCCAGUACGAGAGGACCGGAGUGGACGCAUCACUGGUGUUCGGGUUGUCAUGCCAAUGGCACUGCCCGGUAGCUAAAUGCGGAAGAGAUAAGUGCUGAAAGCAUCUAAGCACGAAACUUGCCCCGAGAUGAGUUCUCCCUGAGACUGUAAGUCUCCUGAAGGAACGUUGAAGACGACGACGUUGAUAGGCCGGGUGUGUAAGCGCAGCGAUGCGUUGAGCUAACCGGUACUAAUGAACCGUGAGGCUUAACCUU